This 85-nucleotide transfer RNA is filed under the name Felis catus (domestic cat). It matches the Rfam family "tRNA". Rfam says of the family: Transfer RNA (tRNA) molecules are approximately 80 nucleotides in length. Their secondary structure includes four short double-helical elements and three loops (D, anti-codon, and T loops). The record is from Rfam by way of RNAcentral. RNAcentral also lists the same sequence under 2 other names. Lineage: Eukaryota; Metazoa; Chordata; Mammalia; Carnivora; Felidae.
GCCUGGGUGGCUCAGUUGGUUGAGCGUCUGACUUCGGCUCAGGUCAUGAUCUCACAGCUCGUGAGUUCAAGCCCCGCAUCAGGCU